UACGGAGUGUGCAAGCGUUACUCGGAAUCACUGGGCAUAAAGGGCGUGUAGGCGGGCUUUCAAGUCGGUUGUGAAAUCCCUCAGCUCAACUGAGGAACUGCAUCCGAUACUGUUUGUCUUGAGGACGAGAGGGGAGAGUGGAACUUCUGGUGGAGCGGUGAAAUGCGUAGAUAUCAGAAGGAACGCCGGUGGCGAAGGCGGCACUCUGGGCCGGUACUGACGCUGAGGAGCGAAAGCGUGGGUAGCAAACAGG
RNAcentral lists this ribosomal RNA (253 nucleotides) under uncultured bacterium. RNAcentral's name for it is "partial 16S ribosomal RNA". It matches the Rfam family "Bacterial small subunit ribosomal RNA", at positions 524 to 776 of the family's 1533-position model. The record is from RNAcentral.